GUUGAAUAUAUAUCUGUUCAGAUUCUUCCACCACCUAUUUCAAGGACUGAUUUUGAUAAGGUGCUUGCGAGGCAGCGGCCAACUGUCAGCAAAGCUGAUCUUGAGUUGCAUGAGAGAUUUACCAAGGAGUUUGGAGAGGAGGGCUAAUUGGAUUUGAUUGAAUACCUGAGGGGAAACACUGAAACUCGCGUGAGUACUCAUAGUGAUCGUAAUCUGUAUUUAAUUGAGGUGAUUAUAUAGCAUGAAAUUUAUGACUUCAGAAGCCUAUUUUAAAACCGGAUUGUUCUUGUCCCAUCUUAAAUCUUGAUUAUAGCUAUCCAUUCCGUUCUUCAGGUUUA
Dendrobium catenatum is the source of this 338-nucleotide long non-coding RNA. RefSeq lists it as uncharacterized. NCBI's taxonomy places the organism in Eukaryota, Viridiplantae, Streptophyta, Magnoliopsida, Asparagales, Orchidaceae. The transcript is spliced from 2 exons. The record is from RefSeq and is a predicted model, not a curated record.